This 554-nucleotide ribosomal RNA is filed under the name Candidatus Saccharibacteria bacterium 32-50-10. RNAcentral describes it as "bacterial SSU rRNA". It matches the Rfam family "Bacterial small subunit ribosomal RNA", at positions 1 to 581 of the family's 1533-position model. The record is from RNAcentral. Lineage: Bacteria; Candidatus Saccharimonadota.
UUUUAUGGAGAGUUUGAUCCUGGCUCAGGAUGAAUGCUGGCGGCGUGCCUAAUACAUGCAAGUCGAGCGGUAACAGGGGUAGUUUACUACCCGCUGACGAGCGGCGGACGGCUGAGUAACGCGUGGGAACAUGCCCCAAAGUGAGGAAUAACCGCCCGAAAGGGUGGCUAAUGCCGCAUAUGGUCUUCGGAUUAAAGGAUUUAUCCGCUUUGGGAGUGGCCUGCGUACGAUUAGAUAGUUGGUGAGGUAAAGGCUCACCAAGUCGACGAUCGUUAACUGUUCUGAGAGGAUGAUCAGUCAGACUGGAACUGAGACACGGUCCAGACUCCUACGGGAGGCAGCAGUAAGGAAUCUUCCACAAUGGGCGAAAGCCUGAUGGAGCAACGCCGCGUGCAGGAUGAAGGCCUUCGGGUUGUAAACUGCUUUUAUAAGUGAAGAAUAUGACGGUAACUUAUGAAUAAGCACCGGCUAACUACGUGCCAGCAGCCGCGGUCAUACGUAGGGUGCAAGCAUUAUCCGGAGUGACUGGGCGUAAAGAGUUGCGUAGGUGGUUU